AACGAACGCUGGCGGCAGGCUUAACACAUGCAAGUCGAACGGGCGUAGCAAUACGUCAGUGGCGGACGGGUGAGUAACACGUGGGAAUAUGCCUUUCGGUUCGGAACAACUCGGGGAAACUCGUGCUAAUUCCGGAUACGCCCUUACGGGGAAGAUUUAUCGCCGAAGGAUUAGCCCGCGUUGGAUUAGCUAGUUGGUGAGGUAAUGGCCCACCAAGGCGACGAUCCAUAGCUGGUUUGAGAGAACGACCAGCCACACUGGGACUGAGACACGGCCCAGACUCCUACGGGAGGCAGCAGUGGGGAAUCUUGGACAAUGGAGGAAACUCUGAUCCAGCCAUGCCGCGUGAGUGAUGAAGGCCUUC
RNAcentral lists this ribosomal RNA (364 nucleotides) under uncultured bacterium. Its description in RNAcentral is "bacterial SSU rRNA". It matches the Rfam family "Bacterial small subunit ribosomal RNA", at positions 29 to 419 of the family's 1533-position model. The record is from RNAcentral.